RNAcentral lists this ribosomal RNA (407 nucleotides) under Bacillus cereus. RNAcentral describes it as "bacterial SSU rRNA". It matches the Rfam family "Bacterial small subunit ribosomal RNA", at positions 53 to 450 of the family's 1533-position model. The record is from RNAcentral. Lineage: Bacteria; Bacillati; Bacillota; Bacilli; Caryophanales; Bacillaceae.
ACUGCAGUCGAGCGAAUGGAUUAAGAGCUUGCUCUUAUGAAGUUAGCGGCGGACGGGUGAGUAACACGUGGGUAACCUGCCCAUAAGACUGGGAUAACUCCGGGAAACCGGGGCUAAUACCGGAUAACAUUUUGAACCGCAUGGUUCGAAAUUGAAAGGCGGCUUCGGCUGUCACUUAUGGAUGGACCCGCGUCGCAUUAGCUAGUUGGUGAGGUAACGGCUCACCAAGGCAACGAUGCGUAGCCGACCUGAGAGGGUGAUCGGCCACACUGGGACUGAGACACGGCCCAGACUCCUACGGGAGGCAGCAGUAGGGAAUCUUCCGCAAUGGACGAAAGUCUGACGGAGCAACGCCGCGUGAGUGAUGAAGGCUUUCGGGUCGUAAAACUCUGUUGUUAGGGAAGAAC